This 433-nucleotide ribosomal RNA is filed under the name uncultured bacterium. Its description in RNAcentral is "partial 16S ribosomal RNA". It matches the Rfam family "Bacterial small subunit ribosomal RNA", at positions 29 to 507 of the family's 1533-position model. The record is from RNAcentral.
AACGAACGCUGGCGGCAUGCCUAACACAUGCAAGUCGAACGAGACCUUCGGGUCUAGUGGCGCACGGGUGCGUAACGCGUGGGAACCUGCCCUUAGGUUCGUAAUAACUCCCCGAAAGGGGUGCUAAUACCGGAUAAUGUCUUCGGACCAAAGAUUUAUCGCCUUUGGAUGGGCCCGCGUUGGAUUAGCUAGUUAGUAGGGUAAAAGCCUACCAAGGCGACGAUCCAUAGCUGGUCUGAGAGGAUGAUCAGCCACACUGGGACUGAGACACGGCCCAGACUCCUACGGGAGGCAGCAGUGGGGAAUAUUGGACAAUGGGCGAAAGCCUGAUCCAGCAAUGCCGCGUGAGUGAUGAAGGCCUUAGGGUUGUAAAGCUCUUUUACCCGGGAUGAUAAUGACAGUACCGGGAGAAUAAGCUCCGGCUAACUCCGUG